AAAGCUUCAUACCUAUCUAGGUAUUGAUCAUAUCUACUUACCAUAAAAAGAUUUCGAAGACAUCAUAGUAAAUCCAAACUUAGAAAUUUAAAUAAUUUUAUUUCUCAAAAAAAAAAAAAAAGUUCAAAUCUUUGAAUUAAUUCAAGUCGUAGAUCCGUGCACGCGGGUCUCGUGCAAAUUGGACCGCGUUUUGACUCUCUUCACAUGGCCCAUCCCCUUGGACCAUUUCACGAUUCCCGAACACUUUUCUCCAUCCUCACCACACCUCCGGCAACCAAUCGCCGCCGUUUCCCUCUUUUCCGGCAACCAUUUCCGCCGUCAAUACGAUUUUCCGGCGUAACUCUCACCGGCAGGUAUUGUAAAGCCUAUUAGCUCAACCGGUAGAGCACUAUGCGCUUGCAUGGAGGAAUGUAGGUUCGAAUCCUAUGUAGGCUGUCAAUGGUUCAAUGUUGACACUCAGAAAUUGUAUCUUUGUAAUUGUGGUUGAUAUACUUUCAUAUAAACGUCACCUUUUUUUCAAAAAUAUUGAGCUGAUCUAAGUAUCUGCAAAUCUAACUAAAUGACGUAAAUGUAUCGAGGAAAAGUAUGCCAUUUCCUGCUGGAUGAUGUUUAUGAUUGAAAUGUAGAAAUAAGGUGUUGAAAUAUUAUUGUCCUUUUCCUGGUG
Long non-coding RNA from Chenopodium quinoa (quinoa), 664 nucleotides. RefSeq lists it as uncharacterized. The transcript is spliced from 2 exons. NCBI's taxonomy places the organism in Eukaryota, Viridiplantae, Streptophyta, Magnoliopsida, Caryophyllales, Amaranthaceae. The record is from RefSeq and is a predicted model, not a curated record.